Long non-coding RNA from Sebastes umbrosus (honeycomb rockfish), 158 nucleotides. RefSeq lists it as uncharacterized. The transcript is spliced from 3 exons. Lineage: Eukaryota; Metazoa; Chordata; Actinopteri; Perciformes; Sebastidae. The record is from RefSeq and is a predicted model, not a curated record.
ACAAACCCAGUAUUUUAUAACUGCUCUAAUGUUAAAGGUGCUUUAUAUGAUAUCCAGAGCAUUAGUAUAUCAGCAAACAACUAUUUGCUAUGUAAAGAUGUAGAGGAGUUAUGUCUACCUGAGCAGAGAAGUCUCUCUUCCUCUGUGUGUGCUGUAAU